RNAcentral lists this ribosomal RNA (253 nucleotides) under uncultured bacterium. RNAcentral's name for it is "partial 16S ribosomal RNA". It matches the Rfam family "Bacterial small subunit ribosomal RNA", at positions 524 to 776 of the family's 1533-position model. The record is from RNAcentral.
UACGUAGGCAGCGAGCGUUGUUCGGAGUUACUGGGCGUAAAGGGUGUGUAGGCGGUUUUCUAAGUUUGGUGUGAAAUCUCCCGGCUUAACCGGGAGGGUGCGCCGAAAACUGGGAGACUAGAGUGCGGGAUGGGAGAGUAGAAUUCCUGGUGUAGCGGUGAAAUGCGUAGAUAUCGGGAGGAACACCAGUGGCGAAGGCGAUCUUCUGGACGGAUACUGACGCUGAGGCGCGAAAGCUAGGGGAGCAAACGGG